GUUCCACCAUGUUAGUGCUCUGUCAGAGAAGGUACAAGCUACGAACUUGACCUUGUUGCCUUCUUGGCAAGCACAGAUUUCAAAGACGGAUUCCAUCUUUUCAAUCCAUUGUCUCAAUACCAUAACACCCCCAGUUCCAUUGAAGCUGUGGGGUUUGGCGUUCGUGAAGUCCUUGUAGGUGCAUUCCCGAGGGUGUCCAUGGCUUCGCUGUGGUUCGAGGGAGGUGCACCUAUUCCUGAUCCACUAAGGGCAAGAGCGUUGAUUGCUGACACAGCAGCUGCAACUGCUGCUGUGAAAGCUGCUUGGAACAUAUUGGCAUCGAAAGGAUUAGGUGGUUGAAGAGGUUCAGGUGGUGGUGGAGGUGGUGGUAUUGGUGUUUCGUUGUUUGGGUUACGCCUUGUAUUUCUGCGUGGCGGCAUCUUUAACUAUACGUUUAAAAGAUGACGACAUGGAUAAGAAUAAAUGAAUAAUGAAUGUGUCUCAUGGACUAACUCCCCAUAGUCCAACAACAGAAUGAAUAUAAUGACUAAAUGAAGAUGACAGCAUUUGGAUAAUAAUUUCCAUAAGAUUAGACAUCUGUCAAUAAUACUAGGAUUACAGAUGUAAACAAGUUCGGGAAAAUGGCCUAGAAGUAGGCCUUACAUCAACCAAGAUGGAAAAUUUUGACAGAAUUAAGACUAGAUCAAGACCUAAAAGGUCUAAGAUUUAUAAAGACAGGAAAUUAGACCAAAGUUUUACAUAAACUAGGUUAUAUCCAAAAGAUGAGUCNNNNNNGGUCUAAGAUUUACAAAGAUAGGAAAUUAGACCAAAGUUUUUACAUAAACUAGGUUAUAUCCAAAAGAUGAGUCGUCGAGAUUCU
RNAcentral lists this long non-coding RNA (859 nucleotides) under Lactuca sativa (garden lettuce). RNAcentral's name for it is "long non-coding RNA (LSAT_LNC006609)". The record is from RNAcentral. Lineage: Eukaryota; Viridiplantae; Streptophyta; Magnoliopsida; Asterales; Asteraceae.